CAAAACUAACCUUAAUGUGGAAAGGCUAGUUUCACAGUUGCUGGAAUUCAUUGAAGGUAAUACCAACUUAAGGUACAAUUUUGAGUUGAAUGAUUCCCAUCUAUCUGAAUAUAUGGAUUGCCUCGACAAGAAUCUAAAUGAUGUACAGAUGUUCUUGGAAUUGGAUACUGAGUGGACGAAUAAGCGAUUUUUAGAGCAAGUGAAAAUCAUUCAAAAGAAAAUGAGAAUUUUGAGGUACUUAUAUGCCACGGAGAUAAGUAGUUACAUAGACCAUGAGAAGCUGGAAGGUCUGGAGACUCGAAUUCAGUUCAUGGCUGACAAUGUGGGACAGUUCUGCCUUGCUCUUUGGCUUAAUAAGGUUGAAGAUAAUGCAGAUGAGGAUAAAGAUGAUACAUAUUCAUAUGAGGAUGAAAAUGAUUUGGUGAGUAAACCUCCAUAUCUAUUAUGUCUGAUUAAGCUAGUGGAGCUUGAAAUGAAGAAGACUUUUCUUGGUGAAAUAAGGGCUUCUAAGUUUAGUCACUCAACAACUUUCAAAAAGCAGAAAUUGCCAAAAGAUUUUUCACAUCAGCUCCACAGUCUGCUGGUGUGUCUCAAGUGCAAGAAGCUUAAGAACUUUUCUGAUACUAUCUCUGUUCGAAAUAUUAAUGUGGCAAUAGAGUUCUUGUUGGUCUUUCUUGCUGAUGUGCCAAAUCAUGUUAUUAAUGGUAAGAGGUUGAAUGAGGUCUUGGAAGAGGUUGGAGCUCGUGCGGGCGAUGUUCUAUGUGUAAUUCAUAGCUCUAUGAUCAAAGAUGAUACUAGCAAGAUAAACCUUUGCUCUAUACAGAUAUUGGAGAAAACUGAAAAUCUAAAGGUACAAUUGGAGAGGUACUACAAAUCCUUAAUAUUCACUCCGUCUCAGUUUGCCACAGUUGGCGGAUUGAGCUUUCUGGAUUCUCUAUUAAGGAAAUUGAAUGAGAUGAUGAAAUCUGAAUUAGGUUUAGAUUUCAUGAUGAAGCCUCAUAUUGUUAUUUUAGAGAAAGAGUUCUCAUAUCUAACAUCUGUUUUCAGAGAUGUUGCAAAGGUGCAGCAUGAACAUGAAAUUCUUAAAGAUCUUCAGAGGCGUACUAUCAAUUUGGCAUACGAAGUUGAAGUUGCCAUUGACUCUAUUCUUGCUCAGUGUAAUGCUCUUUGGUAUCUUUUUUGCUCACUUCCUACAAUCUUAAAAGAGAUCAAGCAUAUUAGUGCGGAGGUUACCAAGAUGUGGUCGGAGAACCUUGCUCUUAAGCCCUGCUCUAUGGUAGAGCCAUAUAAACAUAUGUCAUCUCAACAUAGUAAUCUUAUGAAUGAUGAGGAGAUAGUUGGUUUUGAGAAUGACACGAAAAGAAUAAUUUGGUAUCUGACACAAGGGACAAAUGAGCUAGAUGUCAUCCCAAUUGUUGGCAUGGGGGGACAAGGUAAAACAACUUGUGCUAGAAAGUUGUACAAUAAUGACAUCAUUGUUUAUCAUUUUGAUGUUCAAGCAUGGUGCGUCAUUUCCCAAACAUAUAGCCGGAGAGAGCUAUUACAAGAGAUUUUCAAUCAAGUUACCGGUUCCAAGGACAAGGUAGAUGAGGUUGGCGAACUAGCUGACAAGCUGAGGAAAAGCUUAAUAGGAAAGAGAUAUCUCAUUGUCUUGGAUGAUAUGUGGGAUUUUAUGGCAUGGGAUGACUUAAGACUUUGUUUCCCUGAUGUUGUAAAUAGAAGCAGAAUUGUUGUAACAACUCGUCUUGAGAAAGUGGGUGAACAUGUCAAGUGCCAUACUGAUCUUUAUUUCCUUCCAUUCCUCACGCCCGAAGAGAGUAGGGAAUUGUUGCAGAAAAAAGUGUUUCAAAACGAAGCUUGCCCACCUGAACUAAACGAUGUGAGUCUAGAUGUUGCAAGACGGUGCAAAGGGUUGCCCCUAGUGGUUGUCUUGGUAGCUGGAAUAAUCAAAAAGAAGAAAAUGGAAAGAUCUUGGUGGCAUGAGGUUAAAAAAGCUCUAUUUUCCUAUCUUGACCAUGAGUCUGAAGACUAUAGUCGGGCAACUAUGCAGUUAAGUUAUGAAAACUUACCCGACUAUUUAAGACCUUGCCUUCUCUACAUGGGGAUGUUUCCAGAGGACGAAAGGAUCCCGGUGUCUAAAUUGAUAAGUUUAUGGAUAGCGGAAGGCUUCGUGCAGAACAUUGAAUCUGGGAGAUUAACGGAAGAGACAGCUGAAGGUUACUUGAUGGAUCUCAUUAGCAGUAACGUGGUAAUGGUUUCAAGGAGAAGAUAUAACGGUAAAGUCAAAUACUGCCAGGUUCAUGAUGUAGUGCUUCACUUUUGCUUGGAGAGGAGUAGAGAAGAAAAGUUUAUGUUGGCAGUGAGGGGGAACAUUCAACCUUCCGAUUUGAAGGAAAGUCGAGUUAGCUUCAGUUUCAGUAAUGAGCUUUCCAAGUUUGCAUCCAAAACACGGAAGCCUUUCCACCAACACUUGAGGUCACUGAUAACCACCAAUGGAGGAGAAUCUUUAUAUUGGAAUCCCUUCAGUCAGGUUAUUAAUUUGAUGAGGCUUCUUAAGGUCUUGGAUUUGAGUUCCCAUAAAUUGGGUCGUUUGUCGUUAGCAACGUUGAAACCACUAAUUCACCUCAAGUACGUCGCACUUUUCACAGACAAAUUCGAUUUUCAUGGAAAAUCACAUCUGCCCCAUCUAGAAACUUUAAUUCUCAAGUGUUUAAGGCGUACGCAGUUAUCAACGAAUUUUUGGAAAAUGAAAAAAUUAAGGCAUGUAAACUUUAUUAAAACUGGUUUUUGUUGGGAAAAUCAGAUCUUUGAAAAAUCCUCUAAGUUGGAGAAUUUGAGGAUAUUAAGGGGUGUUGAAUUUAGACUCGAUACUGAUUGCUUGAAUGUUUUAGUACAGAGGUGUCCUAAUCUUCAAGAACUUGAAAUCUUUUUUUUAUGUGAAUAUGGGAGAAAUAUUGAUGAAGAAAAGAUUUGUCUCAAAUUGGAGAGUCUUACCCAGCUUCAAUCACUUCGCCUUUUCUAUCCCUUGUCCGCUGUUGUACACUUGCCUUCAAAUAUAAAGAAAUUGGUACUAUGCGGGUCUUCGAUGGAAAGCACGAUUUUCUGCAUUGCAGGAUUACCAAGUCUAGAGUAUCUCCAAUUAAGGAAUCUGAAUUUUAUUGAAUCUGAAGAGUGGUGCCUUGGAGAUAUCACGUUCCACAAACUGAAGUUGUUGAAACUGAGCUACUUCAAUAUCUCAAGGUGGGAAGCCUCAGAGGAAUCUUUUCCUCAGCUUGAAACACUUGUUAUAAAAGUGUGUUAUUAUCUCGAGGAGAUCCCCCUUAGCUUUGCAGAUAUUCCAACGCUGAAACAGAUUAAAUUGAUGGGGUGCAGCAACAAUGAAUCUCUGGUGGCUUCAGCUUUGAGAAUUAAGAAAGAAGUUAACGAGAAUGAAGGAUGCGACCGUAUUGACCUCAUUGAAGCUACGGUGAUGUAUUAGAAUAAACUGAUGUAAGUAGAAACAAACUCCAAUGUGAUGUUUUAGUGUCUUAAUUUGCAUAAUGUGCAAACAAUAGGUUCAGUACAGGAUCUUUAAUGGAUGUUUCUGGAAGCUGUGAGUCAAGCACGUGCUUGUCACAAUAACAUGGUAUAGUUUUCAGUUUUUUCUUUUUCCCUCCCUCCUUAUAUUUGACAUUUGUUUUCUUGAUUUCCUUUGCUAUCACUGAAAUAUGAAAACUUUAUUUCGAGCAGAAAGUUUGAUUUUCUGAAUACUGAGUUGGAUUUUCUUGAGGUGUGCUUAGUAGACAACAUUAUGAAGAAAACUAUAACUCUGGUUUUUAUGUCUUUGUGUGAGAAUGUAGUAAUUUUACGUCGAUAAGGUAUCGUUGAAUUAACUUAACGAGGAGACAUAUUGUGCUCACUGUAAAUCAGAAGAAAGCAAAGGGGAAACGAUGAAAAAUUAUGUACCUUUAAAUAGUAGUUUCUCUUAAGAGGUUCAGUUGUUGAUUGAUCAACUGCUUCUUUUCUAGGCCUUGCUGCAACUUUGUAUGUUGUUAAACCAGAAAAAGUAUCAAGUGACAGAGGAUACAUUUAACCAAAAAUUUAAAAACACAUAUAGAUUGAUCAAAUCCAAAUUCAGUUAGGUAUAACAGAGAUUGUUUAAACAUCAUAUACUACUACUACAAUUACAUCUGAUUUCUAUUACGCAUUGCUAUCAUUAUUGUCAUCUCCAGUACCCUGUUUAUAAACAGCGUACAGGAUAAGCUGCACAAUGCCCAAAAUGAGGCCGACAAUAUGUGCACAGACCUUAACCCUACAUUCAAGAAGCAGAGAGGUUGUUUCCGAAAGUACCUCGGCAUAGGCCCAAAAUGAGGCCAACACCAGCUGAAAUUUGCAAUAAAUCAAGAAAAGUAAAUACGUUGAGAAUUAAAAAAGAAAGGCGCUUAAAAAGAGAGACUUUACGCUUACUUUUAGGGAAAAUGCAUAAGUACCCCCUCAACCUAUGACCGGAGUUCCAACUACAUACCUUUCUUUUUCGAGGACCCUAUUACCCCUGAACUAUUAUAAAGUGAAAUUAUUACCACCCUAAAUGCUGGCGUGACAAAGUGUGUGUUCACUCUCUCAAAGCCCAAAAAUUUACUUACUGGUCUUUUUCUUUUUCUUUUCUUUUUCUUAAUCUUUUGUCUUUUACCCUUUUUUUUCUUCUUCCCAAGAUGAUAGCCACCUUUAAAAGGCAUUGAGCUCCAUUUACAACACCAUUCCUUUGAAAAUUCAUUUUUUAAUUUUAGAUUGGUAUUUUUUCCUCAAACUUUUAUGGGCUUAUUCUUAUCUUUGCAUUAGCAAGAAAAUAAAUUUAAAUGUGAUUGUGUGUACACAUGUCAUCUUUUUAUUGGAUAUUACACUUAAUUAAUUAUGUCAGUAACUUAAAAAAAUAUUUUUUCCUUUCUCUUCGAAAAUAUACAAUACUUUUCUUAAAAAUUCGGCAGCAACGACGACCAAAGAAAUUAUCACUACGUGAAUAUUAUUUCUUUGGCCGAAAUCGAUAUCGGAGAAUUAAAAUUUUGGAUUUCAUUGUUGUCAUGUUGGUGGUGAUACUAAUAUUGUCCGUGGUGAUACUAAUAUUGUCACUUUUUGUCCUUUUGUUUUCUUGAGCCGAAAGUCUUUCGGAAACAGCCUCUCUACUCCUUCGGGGUAGGGUUAAGGCAUGCAUACACACUGCUCUCCUCAGACCCUAUUAGUAAGAUAUUACUGGGUUGUUGUUGUUGUAUUGUUGUCAUGUUGCUACUAGUCAUGAUAAAGAAUAGAAUAAUAGAUCAAAAUAAGGAACAUAAUGGGAGAGAAAAAAAAGAGUGACAAUAUAUAUAUAUGGCAGGCGAGUGUAUUUCACCUCCCAAGAAACAUCUAGUUAUGACAUUUCAAGGAGAUAUUUAUUCCUUUUUAGAAUAGUUUAGGAGGGUAAUAGAAUUCCCGUAAAGAAAAGAUGUGUAGUUGAAACUUCGGUCAUAGGUUAGGUUGAGAGGGUACUUAUGAAUUUUCCCUUACUUUGAUGAAUAGAUCUUUACCAAUGACGGCGUAUGUUAACCACAAACCACAAGAGAGAGCUACAAAGAAUGAGAGCCAAAAUGGCAUGAAUUCCACUUUUUGUCAUGAUGACAUGUGUGACCAAGGGCGGAUGCACGUUUAACGAAGCGGUGUCACGCGGCACCGCUUCGUCGAAUUUGUUUACUAAAUAUAUGUAUUAAUACUGUAAGAAAAUAGAUAAGUAGGAAAAAAUAACACCACUUAACACAAAUUGUUUCUUGGUGCGUUGGUUAUGUACUUGAUUUUGCUCUAAGAGGCUAGAGGUUUGAACCUCGUAUGGUUAAAAAUUAUGAAGUAGAAUUGAACUUAGGACCUUUUCUAACUUGAAACUCAAUAAAACCAAUAGACUAAGAUUACUUCUUGUCUAGAAGUAUGACAAUUAAUGUUAUUAUUCUCGUUUUUGUGUAAAUUUCGACACCGCUUAUAAACAUUCUUGCGUACGCUUGUGUAUACAUGUAUGAAUAGCAAACAGGUUAAGGAAAAUGAAAAGAAAUACUAAAAAAAGGAAUGAAGUGUUAAAUUAAAAACAUAGGCUUACUAUGAUUGAGAGGGGUGAUCCAUACAUAAGUAAGGAGACAACGGUGGUAGCAAUACCACAAAAAUUCUUUCUACUAUUUUUCCAUGAAGAGCAAGCAUGGAGAUAAGAGCUACUGCAAUACAAAUUGCAAUGUUUAGAAAGAAGAGUGCCGAGAUUUUCCUCCUCUCGUUAUUAGGUGCAAAUUUGAGGAAACUCAGCACAUAGACAAGAGCAAAAUUAAGCUGCUCCAAUCCCAUUCAUAGUCUACACUAGCGCAUUGUUUGAUGAUACUAGCGGCAUACCAUACCUAUGAUAAUUUAAUUAGUACACAAGUAUUAAAAAGACACUUUAAGAAGGAAAGAAAUUUGUCUCGGCAACAGAAAACUAAUUACCAUGUUGAUAAUAGACAGUUCAGCAUUGUAAUCAUGUAUGGACUACUCGAGAUAGUCGCUGGAGCACCCCCUCCAUUCACCUUUUGUUCCCAUAUGCAUCGACCUUUUCUAAAUCGACAUAUCUAGGUUCUCCCAACAUGUUCUCGUUCUUUCGAAAUGACAUUGCCAAAAGUCGAAUCAAAGGCUUUACAAGAGAGCUUCUUGUUGGAUAUUAGGUUUGGGUCGUGGGUCGCCCAUGUGGACUAACCCGACCCGUUUGAGAAGAGAUUAAACUUAAGGAGGUUACUAACGUCAUCGAUAUGUGGGCAUAUAGGGGUAUUUCACACUUGCUAUUUGAAAAGAAAAUAAAAUAUCUUAUUUAUUGUGGAAAGGAUUUUUGAAAAAAAUACAGUUUUCUAACUAUCUCAUAUUUUACGACGAUUUCGGUAAAGGAUUUGGGUUUUCACUGAUAUAUUUUAAAAGUGGAACUAUUUUCGGGAAUUAUGAAUAAGCUGAGCAUUUUAAAUUCCGAGUUACUUCUUUAUUUACUUGCCUUGCAUUGUUAUGAAGUACUAUUGGUUAUUGAGUUGGACCCGACCUAUGUUACAACCCAUCACUACUUUCAACCUAAGGUUAGGUUUGUUACUUACUGAGUACAUGGGGUCGAUUGUACUCGUACUAUACUUCUGCACUUUGCGUGCAGAUGUUGGCUGCUGAUGUUGUUGUUUUCGAUGUGAGCUGGAAUUGAAGAUGUACCUGCAUUCCGUUGUAGCUGCCUCUUGUUCAUCGUAGCCUUAGAUCUAUAAAACUCUGUUUAUGUACUUUUCAAACAGAUGAUGUAUUUACUUCCUUUCAGCUUAGUAAACAAUAUUCUUAGAAGCUCAUGAUUUGUACUACCAGUCCUUGGGAAAUGUAUAAGAUUCAGAUAAUUCCUUUUGUUUAAUUGUCUUGUUAAUAUUAUUGGAAUUGGAUAGUUAUUAGCCGGCUUACCUAGCAGGUUGGGUUAGGUGCCAUCACGACUAGUGGAUUUGGGGUCGUGACAUAUUGGUAUCAGAGCUCUAGGUUCAUAGGUUCUACAAGUCAUGAGCAAGUGUCCAGUAGAGUCUUGCGGAUCGGUAUGAUGACGUUCAUACCUAUCUUCAAGAGUACUAAACAUGGUUUCUAACAUGGAUCACAGCUCAGGUGCUCUAAUACGUAGAGUACAGUAAAAUGUUCAGAUAAGAUAGCUACACAGUUUCCGUGGAAUAGACUAAAUCACAUUCACUACGGUGCACGCCCACACGCCCGUCACGUAGUAUGCGCGUCACCUCAACAUCAAUCACAUGACAUGUAAUUCGGGGUUUCAUACCCUCAGCACCAAGUUUAGAAGUGUUACUUACCUCGAACAAGCCAAAUCCAAUAUUGAGCACUGCCAAACGAUGCUCCAAAAAUGCCGUCACGCGUGUACCGGCCUCCGAACGGCUCAAAACUAGCCAAAACCAACUCAAAUACAUCAAAUAUGCCAAAGGAAAUAAACCUAAUCGAUAAGGUCGAAGUUUUAAUCAAAAGCCCAAAAUCGACCAAAAGGUCCAACCCGGGCCCGCACCUUGGAACUCGACAAAAAUUAUAAAAUUCGGCAACCCAUUAAAUUACAAGUCCAACCCAUACUAGUUUCACUCAAAUCCGACUCCAAAUUGAUGUUCCAAACUCAAAAAUUCGCUUUAUGAAACUUUAGGCUAACCCCCACCCCUCCUCCCCCCUCCAUUUUUCUCAUUAAAAUUCAUCAACCAAUUGCCAAAAAUAAAGAUAGAUUCAUGAAAUGUAAUCAAAACCGAGUGUAGAACACUUACCCCAAUCCUUGUGAUGAAAAUUGCUCCAAACAUCGCUCCAUUCCGAAGUUCAUAGCUCCAUAUAUGAUAAAAAUGACCAACUCUCGAACUUAUAACAUUUUGCCCAGCGAUUCUCGCUUUUGCGAGUAAAGGGCCGCUUCUGCGACAAACGCUCCGCUUCUGCGGAGAAGCUCUGGAGAAUUGGACCUCGCACCUGCGGAAAACAUCCGCUCCUGCAACAUCGCAGUUGCGACAAAAGGACCCGUAUCUGCACCAAAGCCCGCUUCUGCGCUCAAAUCCCGCACCUGCGCGCACGCAAGUGCGCUACAAAAAUUCGCAUCUGCGGUGAUCCCUAGCCAAGCCUUCCUUCGCUUCUGCGACCGGUUGUUUGCAUCUGCGGACGCAUAUUUGCGUCCAUUCUUCCGCAAGUGCGCCUUCAGCAAUGCAAUAAGAAACGAAAAUGAUCUGAACCUUGUCCGAAACUUACCAGAGCCACUUAGGACCUUGUCCAAAUUACCGACAUGUCCCAUAACAUAACACGGACCUACUUGAGGCCUCAAAUCACACCUAGCAAUAUCGAAACGAUGAAUCACACCUCAAUUCGAACUUGAUGAACUUUGAACUUUUACACUUCUAAAACUCGUGCCGAAACAUAGCAAAUCAAUCGAGAAUGAACCCAAAUUUUGCACACAAUUCCCAAAUGACGUAACGAACCUAUUCCAACUCCCAAAAUCACAAUCCGAACCAGAUAUCCACAAGGUCAACUCUCGGUCAAACUUUUGAACUUUCCAAACCUUCAAAUUUCUAAUUUUUGCCAAUUUGUGCCGAAACCUUCUAGAAUCAUCCAAAUGCAAAUCUGGGUAAACGCCCGAGUCCAAAAUCAUCAUCCGGACCUAUCGGAACCAUCCGUUCAGGGGUCAAAUUCACAAAACGUCAAACGUGGUCAAUUUUUCCAACUUAAAGUUUCAAUAAUGAAAUUCAUUCUUCCAAAUCGAUUCCGAAUAACCUGAAUACCAAAAUCGACGAUUCACAUAAGUCACAAUACAUCAUAUGGAGCUACUCAUGCCCGUAAAUCACUGAGCGAAGUGCAAAUGCUCUAAACGAUUGGUCGGGUCGUUACACCUAACAUAUUAAAUUUUCCAAAAAUUACUUUUUUUUGUGGCCAAACAUGCUCUAAAACGAGUAUUAUAUAUUGAUGGGAACCACAGAUAGUGGCAUCAACUACUUGCUAAUAUUUUUAUGUGCUACAUGUUUUUGUAAGAAAUAUUAAAUUGCUGGUGGCUUGGCCGGUGAACAUUACAUAAUAAGAAUAUAAAAAGACCGUUGAGAAAUUAUAUUGGAUGUUCACACUUAUGUCUUCCAUUCUAUAUAUAUAUACAGGUUUAGUAAAGUUAAGAUGUCGUUGCACCUAUAUAUUCUCUCCAUUUACAUUAAUCUUGCUAAAUUGGAGUAGUAAAAAGUAAGAAAAAUGGCAGAUGUAGCACUGCAAUUUGUAGUGGAUACCCUGGUGCCGAUUAUAAUUGAAAAUUGGAAGCUAAUUGGUGGCACAAAAGAAGAUUCUGCACAUCUAUUGGGAGAGCUUAAUCGGUCAAAGGCCUUUCUACAGGAUGCUGCAAAAUACCGUGAGAGCAACAGCGAACAGUGGAAAUACUUUAUCAAAGAAGUUCAAGCAGGGGCGGCUCAACAGAUCUCGUGGCAUAAGGCGAAAUCAUAUUUAAAGGCCCUUACAAUUUUUUUCAAAAAAAAAAUAAGAAAAAGAGAACAAAAAAUAAAGUGGUGGACUAUCGAAUAUUGAGGUCCAGAACUCAAAAUAAAAACUUUGAUUUGGCUAUCAUCAUAAACAAAAAUAAAAUAAAUGUACAUAACAUAAUAGCUUACGUUUCGAGUAUUAACGGUGUAAAAAAUAUUUACUCCGUCUGAUCAAUUUAAAUGGUGAUUGUAGUUCAUUCUAUUAAGUAACACUUAUUGGUGAAUAUCUAAAAUAAAUUGUAAAUAACCUAAUAUAAUAUGUAAAGAAAAUCGGUGCAUGAAUGUUUUUGUGUUCAUGUAGUUUCAGAGAACAUUAUAAAAGAAAUUUAUUAUAGUGUCGAUAUAUAUAACUUAAAUCAUAUAUGUAAAAGAUAAAUUUAAAAUAGAAAAGUGAAGCAAAUAUACUAAUUAAUGAGGGAAGAAAAUUAUCAUAAUUUAUAAAUUUAUUGUAUAAAAUAACCUCAAUCAAGUAACAAAAAAUAUAAUGUAACACUUUUCUUUAUAUUAAUUAUUUAUAUAAAUUAUAUAGUAUAUAAUAAUAAUAAUAUUAAUAAUAAUAUAAAAUAUAUAUAUAUAUAUAUAUAUAUAUAUAUUUAAAUAAAUUUUGUGCCUCCAAAAUUUGGGGCUAACGCAAUCGCCUCACUGCCCAAAGCCUUACAGCCGCCCCUCAGUUCAAGUUAUGAUAUAUAAAGCUGAGGGUCUUAUUGAUAAGCUCCUGAUUAAGGGGAAGAGAGAAACAUAAUUGUGCAAAACUUGGAUACUAAAUAUGCCAAAAAAGUUUGGGAUCUUGCAAAUGAGAUUACCGACACCCUUGAACAGGUGAAGAAGAUUCGUGAACAAAAUCCAGAGGCUUUUCAGGCUAAGCCAAUGCUUGAUUAUCAGCCGGAUAUCGUUGCCCCCGGGCCACAGGUAUGUAUAAAAUUAUUAUUUCCAAUGGUCUCUACCUCGAUCACACAAUAUUCCACACUCCCGUGAUCUUACUUGUGGAAUCAUGUUGUUGUUGUUGAUCUCAAUAGUAGUUAUAUAUGAUUGUCAGCCUAUUUUACAUUUUCUUUAUAACUUUACUUUAAAUAUAUAUUUAAUGCACAUAGUAUUAAAAUUACUAUCAUAAAAAAAAUACAUUUUUGCUAUGUGAAAAGUUCUCAAUCUACCGUUAAUUAAUAGAAUCUUUGUAGACACACAAAAGUUAUACUCCCUCCGUUCCAGUUUAUGUGAACCUAUUUCCUUUUUGGUCCGUUCCAAAAAGAAUGAUCCCUUUCUAAAUUUAAAAACAAUUAACUUAAACUUAUAAUUUAACCCUUAAUGAGAAGUUUUUAUAACCACACAAAUAAUCUGGGCCUCUUUUUGACUUGUUUAAGACAACAAAUUCCAAAAGUCUUUAUUUUUUAUUAAACUCCGUGCCCAAUCAAACAUGUUCACAUAAAUUAGAACGGAGGGAGUAGCAUUUUUAAAACAAUAAAUUUGAAAAGUCUUCAUUUUUUUUCUCUUUCUUUAAAACUAAGAAAUUUAAGAUUGGAACAAGAAGAAAUUUGAUCGUCUUUAAUUAACAGGAUACUUUGUUGGAAGAAAAUGAAGUUGUCGGCUUCAACACAAUUUGGGUUUACAUAGGACCACAACAAUACAAACCAAAGAGGUCUUUCUUAGUAUACUGGAAGGAUUCACGAAACGCACGACAGAAUAUCAAAAUAUGGCUGUCAGGAGGUAAAUGUCUUAUUGUGUUGGACGAUUUGUGGGCGACAGACGUUGUGGAUUCUGUGAUGAAAGUUUUCCCGGAAAACAGCAAAGGCCAUCGAAUAAUGCUACCACUCAUGACCUACGUAUUGGUAGAUAUGCCAAUCCUGAACCUCACUCAUUGAAAUUUCUGAACGGACAAGGAAAGUUUCCAACUGUUGGAAAAAAGAGUUUUUGGCAGUAAUAUUCGAAAGUGUCCUGAAGAUUUAAUAGCACAUAGAGAAAGUAUUGCUAAACAAUGUAGUGGAUUGCCACUUGCUGUAGUGGUAAUUGCAGGAGCUCUAAAAGGACAUACAAGCGAAAGAGUGUGGCAAAUGGUUAAGGACAAUGUAGGAAAGCAUCUUAUAAAUAAGGAUGACCCUCAAAGCUGCUUGAAAUAUGUGGAAAUGAGUUAUGGUCAUCUGCCCGAAGAUAUGAAGGCGUGCUUCCUGUAUUGUGGCGCCUUUCCACAAGGCUUUGAAAUUCCUGCUUGGAAGUUGAUCCGCUUGUGGAUUUCCGAUGGACUGAUAAACUCCAACUUAGAUGGCAGACCCGAGGAUAUAGCGGAGAUUUACUUGAACGAACUUGUCAACAGGAAUUUAGUGAUUGUAAUGCAGAAAAGUUUUCAAUCCUAUGCCCAACCGUUGUAUAAUCCUUUUCAGUUGUUCUCUAACUUCAAUUACUUUUCUCUGCAUAUAUAGAUAUAGUGGCACUUGAGUACUUGUUUAGUCUUAUUCAUGUGAAUUCCAAAAAUAAUGGCACAUUUAUAUAUUUCCUUAAUAAAAUUGUUAUUAUAGUCACACAAAAGUUAUGACAUGUUUAAGGUCACAAGUUUCAAAAGUUUUAUACUCACAUAACUGUUAUCACAUAUUUAAGACCACGUAUUUCAGAAUACUCCCGUUCUUUCUUAAAUUGUGUGCUGAGUCAAACUACGACAAACUGAUUGAAACAAACGGAGUAAAUAACUAGAGACAAAUAGCCAGUUAUCCUAACUCCAAUUGAGGAUGAGAUAGUUAGUUGGGAUGAAUCAAAAGAGAAUGGAUGCAAAAUACAAAAAUUGUGUUUUUACUUGGCGAAAAUCCCAGGAAGGACGAUCUUUUAUUAUUAUUGCAACAAGAGGAAAAUAAAAAACGAAAGGCGAUAGCUAAGCAGGAUAAAAGCAGAAAAUAAAAAAAUUAGCCUCUUCUGCAAACUAAAUUCUAAAGUUUAAUUAAGCCAAUGAUGUCUAAAUGAUCUGGCAUGAAUAAGUAAAUAUACGAAAUCUUGUCAAUGGGAUCAAUUGAAUUAUAUUAAACUUCCCUUUCAACUUCUUAACUGUUCAAAUCGCAACUAAAUAUAAAGACAAACAAUGUCACUCAAAUGCAAAUUGCCGAAGGUGCACUUCAUCAUGUACUUUCAGUAUAAUGCAAAUAAACUGUUAUUGAGGUGAACCUAGGAAGCAAAAACAAAAAACCAAAACCUCGGCAGCUGCAAAUCUCAACUUUGCUUCAUCCAACUCCUUCUGUACUCCUCUAACAGGAAUCCAAAUAGACUGCAUAAAUAACAAUAUGUUGGUCUAACAAAAGAUAGAAGUCAUGUUAUAUUGCUAAAUUUAAAGAAGUUCAAAUUUAUCGUUUAUUGCUUCAUUUAUUGAUUAAUACACCGUGAGGAAGAGAGUAAAAGAACGAAAGGUGAUGCCUUGCCAUAUUUAUCGUUUCAUGGUGAGGUUGAGACUAAAAACACGAAGGGUGACGUCAUGGCAUUAUUAUUGUUUCAUUCUCAGGUUGAGAGUAAAAACACGAUGGGUGAUGUCGUGCCAUCUUUAUUCAUUAUGUUUAUCCGUUUUCAUUGGUUGAUGAUGUAUUUGCAUGUCUUAUGUAGUCAUUCAUGUUGUAGUUAUCGUAUCUUGUUACCCCUUUCGCAUGUCCCCUCCCAAUCCUACAUAUUAAAUCUUUAUUUGUUACUAUGUUGUACAUAUAUCUACGUUUGUACAGGUUAAAUUACGUGAGUGUCCUGUCAUAGCCUCGUCACUAACUCGUCGGGGUUAGGCUCGGCACUUACGGAGUACAUUGGGUCGGCUGUACUCAUACUAUACUCUGCACUUCUUUUGCAGAUUUUGGUACUGGUCCCAACUAUAUGUGAGAUGUAUCAGCUCGGAUUAUCACAUUUGGAGACUCGAGAUAGAUCUACUGGCGUUCGCAGACCUUAAAGUCCCCUUCCUCUUUCCCCAUUUACUGUUCAUUUCACUCGAAAUAGUUGUAUUUAUUUCAGACUCUGUUUGUAGAACUUCUAGACUUGUGACUCUAGUUCUAGGAUUGUACUUAGAUAUUUUUGGUUAUUUGACCUUUUCACAUAUCAUUAUAGUUUUAUUUGAGUUUAAAUGAGUUUUAAUUACUUGAAUUGUUUAAAAUGGCAUACAAUUUACUCUAACGUUGGCUUGCCUAGCGAGUGAAAUGUUAUGCGUCACCACAGUCCCGAAGGUGGGAAUUCCGGGUCGUGACAGAAAAUCUAUAUAUGUUUUGUAUAUAUAUACAUUAUAUAUGUUAUAUACAAAAAUUAUACAAAUUUUAUACACUUUUUUGGCUACUAAAUAUAAAUAGUUAAAAGUUAUAAUAUCCCUAUAUUGUGCUAACUAUUGUACCUGUAAUUUUGGCCUUUAUGGUUACUGUUGUGUCUAAGUUAAGCCUUUAGAUUAUACUCCUUCCGCUUCAAUUUAUAUGAACUUAUUUGAUUGGGCAUGAUGUUUAAGAAAACAAAAUUGAAUUUGUUGUGUAAAUGAGGCACAUAUAUUUUGUCUCACUAUAAAUUAUUAUAUAUAAAGGUAAAUUAUUUUCUAAAUAUGGAAACAUAUCAUUCUUUUUAGUACGGAUUAGAAAAGAAAUAGAUUUACGUAUGGAGGAGUUUAAGACCGUCCAAUUUCGAAUUUAGUCAAAUUUCAAUACCCGAUACUAAAUAUCGAGCGAAAACCCUUUUUAAAUAAAAAAGACUAGCCUCUAUUCAUUUUCCACUAGUUACAUUUUUAGCUUGUGUUUUGUUUUGUUUUUGUCCUUGCUGUUGCAACUUGAAAUAAAGUCUAGGUCGACAUAUCUUGUCUUGUAGUCUAUUAAUCUUGAGGUACUGUAUGUACUUUUAUUUGUUUAAUAAGCACAAAUUAAGUAAUAUUAAAGUGUCCAAUAAGUGCAAGCCUAUUAGUUGAAAUGUCAAAAGUUGGUAUCAAAUUUAGGGAGUUAUUUAUGCUCCCGUUUGGCCAGAUUUUGGUUACUAUUUUUUAAGUUUAAUUUUUUUUUUUCAAGAUUUAUGACAGUUUUUGAGUGAUAUUUUUCCAUUUAUUCACAAAAAUUUAAAUUUGUUUUUCAAAUAAAAUACAUGCACAAACACAAUUUUAAUUUUUAAAUAUUAUUUUCCAACAUAAUUUCAAAAACUCUUUUUCCAAGUGUUAAUUAAAUAUAUGUUUAACUAUGUAUUCAUUUGUGCUUAUGUUUUAUCAUGCAUUUUCAUAAGUGAAUUUCAUACUCAUCUUCAUGCAAACACUUAUACUAUAAAAGAUAUAUUAUUCCUAUAUACAACAUGUUUAUACGAGAUCAUUACAUUGUAAGUGUACCUUAUUAUUGGUAAAUUUUGGACUUCACCAAAAAUAAUUAAGGAAGUAAUGAUAUGCAAUAAAUAAAUAAAGUUAAAAAUAUUAUACUUGACUCAAGACACAUUAUGGGGAUCACGUUUCUUUCACGAUCCAUCUUAUCCUUUCAUCGAUAGAAGUUAGCAAUAGCAUUAUUCUCAUAUUAGCGGAAUUAUGGGUGUUUGUCUCCUUAUAUGGUCAUAGACUCUCGAGAUAAUUCAUAUUUCAAGACUAGCUAUUUUUUAGAGCUGAAUUAAGUUUAAAAUUCAUUUCUUCGUUCGAACGUGUGGGGGUAUUAAGCAGGGCUGAGGAAGAGCAUUAGUCGCGGGUUCGAACAAACUCAACUUAAAUCUUAUAUUUGUAUUAGAAAAUACAUAAAAUAUGUAUAAAUUUCUAAUUACGAACAUAGUAACUAAGAUAAACUAUGAGUUCCUAAUAAAUUAAAAAUUUAUAAACACCAAAUUUGUUGAGGGAUGGGUUGUUAUAUGGUCUUGGGCAAGAGUUGGAGUCACUCGGCCACCAAUUAUCUACAUUUGGCCCAUUGUUUCCCAUUAAAACAAUUCGCCCCAAGUUGAUCUAGUUAGUGUUCUCAUUUAUAAUCCAAGUUGAUACUAUUUGUCAUGUGGCUGGCUAUACGACAUUGUUUUUGUUUUUUUUUGGAAAAUUUCUAGGAAACCGUAGCCGCUACCAUUCGGGUGUGCAUUUGAUAUCUAACUCAAUGUGCAAUUGCUCGCAAAUCACACAGAAGAUAUAAAUCGCAUUAGGCACGCCCGGUACGACUAGCUCUGACUGGGGAGACUACUGGUGAGGGAAAUCGAUCUCAGAUCUCCCAUGUGAGAAACCACUCACCCAACUAACUCAAUCAACCCUGGCGGCGGCGUGACUUCACAGUAGAUCUUUGUGAAGGCUUUCUUUUUGUCAUUUUUCUCCUUUGUUUAGAACAAGUUGUUCUGACAGUUGGACGAGAAACUAUUAAGUUCUAUAAAUAGGGGAGAAACAUUGUUUUCCUUUUUACAGCAAAAUAUUGAAACUCCAAAUAGCUCAUCAAAAUGUUUUCCAAAACUAACCUUUUUCUUUGCCUUUCUUUGGCUAUUUUGCUAAUUGUAAUAUCCUCACAAGCUGAUGCAAGGGAGAUGUCUAAGGCGGCUGCUCCAAUUACCCAAGGUUUAUUUACUUCUUCAAUCUAUUACUACUCCAGUAGUUAUUUUCAUUUUUAACAUUUUGAGUCUGCGAACGGAUGUUAUAAAUGUUUAAAUAUUCAUGUAACAUUUGGCUUUGAAUUUUGUGAUAUUAAAUAUGUCAUAAUAUCUUAUAAAGAAAUCUCAUUAAUGAAAAAAUUAGAAUUUCGGAAUUAAAUAAUUAUUAAACGUUGGUAGCAUUCUUUGCUGGAGUGACUUAAAAGGAAAGCAAAACACAUGAUUGAAACGAAGGGAGUAAAUGUUUACAUAAGUAUUAUUUAACAUUUUGCUGAAAGUUUAAUGUCGUUUUGAAACUUUCUGAGACAUUCUACAUCUAUAAUAUUUAAUAAUCUAAGGAUAUCGCAACACCGUUUAUAAUAGUUUAAAUUCUAUUGCUAGAGCAAGGACACUUCAUUUGAAUUAGCGACCUGUCCUGCCAAAUGUGUGAUCAUUUUAUUUUAAAACUUAAGUUAUUAGAGGAGGAACCUACGUUCAUCCUAAUUUAUUUAUGUUUGCAGCACUGAGAAUUAAUAUGGUCACAAAUUAAUUUCCUCCUUUAUUGGUUAACCUAUAACUAAUACAUUACUCUACAUAACCUAAUUUGAUGCAGAAAUGAAUUCAAACAACAUUACUGAUCAGAUGACGGGUGCCGGAAUCAUCCGUAAGAUACCGUGUUGGUCACGAAAAGGUGCAAAACCAGGAUGCAAAAUCUUCGGCAAAAUCGCCGGCAAAGCUUGUAAAAUUUGCUCAUGUAAAUACCAGAUUUGCAGCAAAUGUCCUAAAUGUCAUGACCAAAAUAUCGCCGGCAAAGCUUGUAAAAUUUGCUCAUGUAAAUACCAGAUUUGCAGCAAAUGUCCUAAAUGUCAUGACCAAAAUUAGGCCUCAGAGACUAUGUACUUGUGCUGGUGUGAGUUUAGUUUUGAGAAUAAAGGGAAAGUUAUGAAUAGCCUAAUAUAAUUCUAUUCACUUUCCUCUAGUUAAUUUCUCUUAGUUUGUGUUUUGUUUUGUUAGUAGUUCCUAUUGUUGCAACUUGCAACAAGUCUUGGGUCAACAUGUACCUCUUGUCUUGUAGUCUUUCGACUGUAUGAUAUUGUACCGUAUUGUAUUGUAUUGUAUUUUUCUUUAGCCACUUGUUAUCUGAAAUCAAAUCCAAUUAAAUCUAAUUCGCGUUGCAUAGGUUCUACUAUAGUUAGACCUCUUU
This 17688-nucleotide long non-coding RNA is filed under the name Nicotiana tabacum (common tobacco). RNAcentral's name for it is "long non-coding RNA (NTAB_LNC001609)". The record is from RNAcentral. Lineage: Eukaryota; Viridiplantae; Streptophyta; Magnoliopsida; Solanales; Solanaceae.